GCGCGGUUAGUAUAGCGGUUAGUACUCUCGUUUCCCAACAAGUAGCCUAUCCAUGGGCGAAAAAAAGAACGAGUGACCCGGGUUCGACUCCCGGACUGUGCA
Neurospora tetrasperma FGSC 2509 is the source of this 102-nucleotide transfer RNA. It matches the Rfam family "tRNA". From Rfam's summary of the family: Transfer RNA (tRNA) molecules are approximately 80 nucleotides in length. Their secondary structure includes four short double-helical elements and three loops (D, anti-codon, and T loops). Further hydrogen bonds mediate the characteristic L-shaped molecular structure. tRNAs have two regions of fundamental functional importance: the anti-codon, which is responsible for specific mRNA codon recognition, and the 3' end, to which the tRNAs corresponding amino acid is attached (by aminoacyl-tRNA synthetases). tRNAs cope with the degeneracy of the genetic code in two manners: having more than one tRNA (with a specific anti-codon) for a particular amino acid; and 'wobble' base-pairing, i.e. permitting non-standard base-pairing at the 3rd anti-codon position. The record is from Rfam. NCBI's taxonomy places the organism in Eukaryota, Fungi, Ascomycota, Sordariomycetes, Sordariales, Sordariaceae.